UCUCCGUAGGUGAACCUGCGGAGGGAUCAUUACCGAGUGAGGGCUCACGCCCGGCCUCCAACCCUUUGUAAUCCAUACCAUGUUGCCUCGGGGGCGACCCGGCCUUCGGGCGUCGGGGCCCCGGGUGGACCAUUCAAACACUGCAUCUUUGCGUCUGAGUACACGAUUGAAUCAAUCAAAACUUUCAACAACGGAUCUCUUGGUUCUGGCAUCGAUGAAGAACGCAGC
This 228-nucleotide unclassified non-coding RNA is filed under the name uncultured fungus. Its description in RNAcentral is "sequence contains ITS1, 5.8S rRNA gene". The stretch from base 180 to 228 matches the Rfam family "5.8S ribosomal RNA", at positions 1 to 49 of the family's 154-position model. The record is from RNAcentral. Lineage: Eukaryota; Fungi.